RNAcentral lists this ribosomal RNA (482 nucleotides) under uncultured bacterium. RNAcentral describes it as "partial 16S ribosomal RNA". It matches the Rfam family "Bacterial small subunit ribosomal RNA", at positions 30 to 507 of the family's 1533-position model. The record is from RNAcentral.
AUUGAACGCUGGCGGCAUGCCUUACACAUGCAAGUCGAACGGUAACGGGCCUUCGGGUGCCGACGAGUGGCGAACGGGUGAGUAAUACAUCGGAACGUGCCCGAUCGUGGGGGAUAACGAGGCGAAAGCUUUGCUAAUACCGCAUACGAUCUACGGAUGGAAGCAGGGGACCGCAAGGCCUUGCGCGGACGGAGCGGCCGAUGGCAGAUUAGGUAGUUGGUGGGAUAAAAGCUUACCAAGCCGACGAUCUGUAGCUGGUCUGAGAGGAUGAUCAGCCACACUGGGACUGAGACACGGCCCAGACUCCUACGGGAGGCAGCAGUGGGGAAUUUUGGACAAUGGGCGCAAGCCUGAUCCAGCCAUGCCGCGUGCAGGAUGAAGGCCUUCGGGUUGUAAACUGCUUUUGUACGGAACGAAAAGCCUUCUUUUAAUACAGGAGGGUCAUGACGGUACCGUAAGAAUAAGCACCGGCUAACUACGUG